ACUUUGAGCCUCGGCUUUCUCUUCUGACCCUAAGCUCUUUUUCCUUCAAGUUUCGGACGGACUAGCAAUUCAAUUAAGCUAAUUUUCGAAACCCUAAGAUUAAGUUUAUGAUAGAUUUAUACUAAGAGUUAUCUGCUCUGUAUCUAUGCGUCACUCUGCUGUAUUUAAAACCCUAAGUUUUUGCUUUCAUAUAUAUCUGAGGAAGACAUAUGACAACCGCUGCUAGACCCACAUGGCAGCCUGCCAAAGGUGAAAACGAAUAAGGUGAUACUCGGAUUUUUGGCCCAUCUCAGAAGUACUCAUCCAUGGACCUUGCUGCUCAUACUACUCUACUCUAAAGCAUAGGGCAGUCUCUUUUAAGACUUCUUUAUACUUCAUCAUAUCUAUAUGUGCGUGUUUCAUGGGCUGUUCUAACUUCAAACAUCAUGUUGGUGUUUUUUGUUUAAUUAGAGUAUCUAAUUGCUGUAGAUAGAAAGGUAAUGAUUGAAGCGGAAAAUGAUGCUGUGAAUAUGUAUUGUUGUUCUUGUGUUCUUCUCACGUGUUUACAAAGCCUUGGUUUUGGAGAAUUUCCAUAUUUAAAAUCCAUGCUUCUUGGCAUUUAGAGAUGCAUUAAGGUCCUAUGGUAUACUUGUAUUGCACCCAAGUUCAUUGUUUAUCUAUUUGUUUUUGCAUGUGUAAAAUGCAGAAAAGAUGGGCAGGACACACAAGACGAGUUGCAGAAGAGAAACCUCCGUGCUGAGCUUGAAGAGCGUGAACGGAGACAUUUCUCAUCAAAGGACAAAUCCAAGGAUGCUACUAACUGUUCUUUGUAUAUUGCAUGAAUUUUUUUCUAUUGAUAUGGUUUCCAAAGGUUACGGGUUGCGCAAAGGAGCUCAUGAUUUGAUGAUUCAUCUUGUUCACUUGGGGUCAUUUGGCCCAACAGAACUGACACAUUAUUUAGAGAGACUAAAGCUCCAUCUAUUUAGCCUGAUAAAUAUGUAAACACUCCAGUAAUUUGUAUUUAGAGGAUCUUAUAAAUCCCGUAAGAAUCUCAAGUUGUGCAUUGUCUUUAAUCUUAACCGGUGAUCUAUUUUAAACUAGACCAUUGGAUCAUGAUGAGCUCAAGUAUAAAUAGAACUCUUUCUUUCUUUUAUAAUCGUCCAGUUGUACUUCUUCAAAGUAAUAGAGAUUGUCAUAAGGAAACCAUCUUCUUUUGGAAGGGGCAAAGAGGGAGACUGAAGAUGGAUUUGUUCCACGCAGUAUUGAUGCCGAUGAUUCUGAUGUGGAGGUCAACAGUGAUGAAGCAAGUGAUGAUGAAGAAGCUCUAUUGGCUGAGCUUGAACGAAUAAAGAAAGAGAAAGCAGAGGAGAAACUCCGUGGGAUGAUGAUGUCGUCUUCAAGAACCAGGUUCGUGGUGAAACCAAGCCUCAAAAGUGCUUCAUUAAAGAUACCAUAAGGAAUGACUUUCACAGGAAAUUCCUGCUCAAAUACAUUAAGUAAUUCAUCACUUCAAUGCCAUAGCAAUUAGGGAAUGAAGUGGAUUUGAAGAUGCUGUAUUUUUUUUCUAGAAAACAUGAUGUAUAUAUCUCCUACGGCUAUGGCUGCUGUUGUAAAUAUACUAAAUGGUCAUUCAAAUGGCAAUGAUGUAUGCAUUCUUGAUUUGGUUGAGACUUAAUGAAAUACAAGCAGAGUUUUUUCAUUGA
Long non-coding RNA from Gossypium arboreum, 1682 nucleotides. RefSeq lists it as uncharacterized. The transcript has 4 exons. The record is from RefSeq and is a predicted model, not a curated record. Lineage: Eukaryota; Viridiplantae; Streptophyta; Magnoliopsida; Malvales; Malvaceae.